GAUGAACGCUGACAGAAUGCUUAACACAUGCAAGUCGAUGGGGAAGUGGUGCUUGCACCCUGGUAACCAUGGCGGACGGGUGAGUAACACGUAAGGAACUUACCUGCGGGACCGGGAUAACAGCAGGAAACUGCUGACAAGACCGGAUAAGGUCAUUAAGCUGCAUAGCUUAGUGAUGAAAGGAGACGCCUGCGGAGAGCCUUGCGUCCUAUUAGCUAGUUGGAGGGGUAACGGCCCACCAAGGCGAAGAUAGGUAGCCGGCCUGAGAGGGUGGACGGCCACAAGGGGACUGAGAGACGGCCCUUACUCCUACGGGAGGCAGCAGUGGGGAAUAUUGGACAAUGGGGGCAACCCUGAUCCAGCAAUUCUGUGUGCACGAAGACGGUUUUCGGAUUGUAAAGUGCUUUCAGCAGGGAAGAAGGAAGUGACGGUACCUGCAGAAGAAGCGACGGCUAAAUACGUG
This 463-nucleotide ribosomal RNA is filed under the name uncultured bacterium. RNAcentral's name for it is "partial 16S ribosomal RNA". It matches the Rfam family "Bacterial small subunit ribosomal RNA", at positions 28 to 507 of the family's 1533-position model. The record is from RNAcentral.